Molecule: unclassified non-coding RNA, 407 nt
Filed under: uncultured Russula
Lineage: Eukaryota; Fungi; Basidiomycota; Agaricomycetes; Russulales; Russulaceae
Description: sequence contains ITS1, 5.8S rRNA gene and ITS2
Rfam family: 5.8S ribosomal RNA (bases 204-357)
Source: RNAcentral
CAUUAUCGUAUAACGGAGGUGCCGGGGCUGUCGCUGACUUUGUGCACGCUCCGGUGCUCUCUUACAAUCCAUCUCACCCCUUUGUGAAUCACCGCGUGGGUGCUCUCCUUUUGGUUUGUUCCAAAAGGGGGCAUUUGCGUUUUUAUACAAAACCACUGCAUGUGUAGAAUGUCUUACUAUUUGUGAUAAUGCACAAUCAAUACAACUUUCAACAACGGAUCUCUUGGCUCUCGCAUCGAUGAAGAACGCAGCGAAAUGCGAUACGUAAUGUGAAUUGCAGAAUUCAGUGAAUCAUCGAAUCUUUGAACGCACCUUGCGCCCCUUGGAAUUCCGAGGGGCACACCCGUUUGAGUGUCGUGAACAUCCUUCAACCUUUCUUGGUUUCUUGACCAGGGAAGGCUUGGACU